RNAcentral lists this long non-coding RNA (841 nucleotides) under Gallus gallus (chicken). RNAcentral describes it as "lncRNA (ENSGALG00010010135.1)". The record is from RNAcentral. Lineage: Eukaryota; Metazoa; Chordata; Aves; Galliformes; Phasianidae.
UCACUCAUUGAUCCCAUGACCCCACCAAUGAUCCCACUGGUGACGUGUCUCCCAUCGAUCCCAUGACCCCACCGAUGAUCCCAAUGGUGAUGUGUCUCCCAUCGAUCCCAUGACCCCACCGAUGAUCCCAAUGGUGACGUGUCUCCCAUUGAUCCCAUGACCCCACGAUGAUCCCAAUGGUGACGUGUCUCCCAUUGAUCCCAUGACCCCCCCAGCAAUCCAACCCAUCCUACAGAUGGUCCCAUUUAUCCCAGCGAUACCAGCAAUCCCACUGAUGCCACCGAUGAUGCCACCAGUGACCCAUUGGUCCCGUGACCCCACUGAUGAUCCCAUCCAUCCCACCCAUCCCAGCAGUCCCACCGAUGAUCCCAUCCGUCCCAGUGAUCCCACUGAUACCAACUAUGAUCCCAUCCGUGAUCCCACCCGUGUCACCAUCGAUCACAUGACGUCACUGUUGAUCCCAUCCAUCCCACCAUCCCAGUCAUCUCAGUGAUCCCAUCCAUCCCAGCGAUCCCAGCGAUCCCAGUGAUCCCACCAAUCCCAGUGAUGAUCCCAUCCAUCCCAUGAUGAUCCCAUCCAUCCCACCAACCCCAGUGAUGAUCCCAUCCAUCCCAUGAUGAUCCCAUCCAUCCCACCAAUCCCAGUGAUGAUCCCAUCCAUCCCCGUAUGAUCCCAUCCAUCCCCCCAAUCCCUGUGAUGAUCCCAUCCAUCCCAGUGAUGAUCCCAUCCAUCCCAUCCAUCCCACCGAUCCCAGUGAUGAUCCCAUCCAUCCCAGUAUGAUCCCAUCCGUCCCACCGAUCCCAGUGAUGAUCCCAUCCAUCCCAGUAUGAUCCCACCAAUC